RNAcentral lists this ribosomal RNA (99 nucleotides) under Escherichia coli. Lineage: Bacteria; Pseudomonadati; Pseudomonadota; Gammaproteobacteria; Enterobacterales; Enterobacteriaceae. The record is from RNAcentral.
UGGCGGCCGUAGCGCGGUGGUCCCACCUGACCCCAUGCCGAACUCAGAAGUGAAACGCCGUAGCGCCGAUGGUAGUGUGGGGUCUCGAACUGCCAGGCA